AUCUACGAACAUACCACCCUGAACAUGCCCGAUCUCAUCUGAUCUCGGAAGCUAAGCAGGGUAAGGCCUGAUUAGUACUUGGAUGGGAGGGGGAGAGAGACAGAGGGUCACCCACAGCAC
Erinaceus europaeus (western European hedgehog) is the source of this 120-nucleotide non-coding RNA. NCBI's taxonomy places the organism in Eukaryota, Metazoa, Chordata, Mammalia, Eulipotyphla, Erinaceidae. The record is from Rfam.